UUGAACGCUGGCGGAAUGCUUUACACAUGCAAGUCGAGCGGCAGCGCGGGGGCAACCCUGGCGGCGAGCGGCGAACGGGUGAGUAACAUAUCGGAACGUACCCUAUCGUGGGGGAUAACACAUCGAAAGAUGUGCUAAUACCGCAUACGACCUGAGGGUGAAAGCAGGGGAUCGCAAGACCUUGCGCGACAGGAGCGGCCGAUAUCGGAUUAGCUAGUUGGUGAGGUAAAGGCUCACCAAGGCGACGAUCCGUAGCUGGUCUGAGAGGACGACCAGCCACACUGGAACUGAGACACGGUCCAGACUCCUACGGGAGGCAGCAGUGGGGAAUUUUGGACAAUGGGCGCAAGCCUGAUCCAGCAAUGCCGCGUGCAGGAAGAAGGCCUUCGGGUUGUAAACUGCUUUUGUACGGAACGAAAAGGUCUGGGUUAAUACCCUGGGCUCAUGACGGUACCGUAAGAAUAAGCACCGGCUAACUACGU
RNAcentral lists this ribosomal RNA (482 nucleotides) under uncultured bacterium. Its description in RNAcentral is "bacterial SSU rRNA". It matches the Rfam family "Bacterial small subunit ribosomal RNA", at positions 30 to 506 of the family's 1533-position model. The record is from RNAcentral.